This is a non-coding RNA of Fukomys damarensis (Damara mole-rat), 46 nucleotides long. Lineage: Eukaryota; Metazoa; Chordata; Mammalia; Rodentia; Bathyergidae. The record is from Rfam.
UCAUAGGCUUUUCCAAAAGCCCCAAAUAUUUUCUAUAAAUAUUCCU